UAGAGUAGAGGCGGGGGAGGAGAGAGGUGAGAGGUUGCAGAUGAGUUGCAUUGCAAAGGAUGCUGCUGUUGCUACAGCACCUGCAGAGUCGUCAUCGCUCCAUUCAUCCCUUCCAUUCCGCGGGAAAAAAAAAAAAAGAGGAACGAAAAAAAAAAAGGAGUGGUUAUGUGAUUCUCCCACUAGCGGGAGGAGACGCGCACAGUGAAGAAAGGAAUAGCAUGGAUGGAGAGGAGAGGAAGGGGUGGAGGUGUGGUGGUGGGAGAAGGGGGUGGCGGGGGGCGUUUCCCUGCACAGUAUAACCUAUUCUCUGACUUCAGCGUGGAAACAGUGCGUGGCAUUAAGAACGGCUUCUCCGCGGGAGCAGCGUAAACGUGGACCAAGCGCUCGUGGUGAGAACAGAAGACACGUCCACACGAGUUGCCAUCACCGGCAGGCCGGACGUGGACAGUUGGGGCGGAGGAAGAGGCAAGAAAGAGGGAAGGGAGAUGAGGAGAGGAAGACCAAGGGGGCUAUAGUGCCUCUCCUCCUCCCAUCUUUUCUCCUCCUCAGCUGACAGCUACUGUGUCUCUAAUUGGCAAGUGUGGAUUGGGAAGAGUCUGGCUUAUUCUCCAUGGGACGGAGUAAGGAAGGCAGAAGGAUUGUGGAUUUUUUUUUUUCCUGGAAAGGAGCUGGAAGUUGGGAAAGAAGGAAGACAAUAGGUGCUGUCCUUAAAGAUUCGCCUCUACGAUGUAAUCUGAUUCAGGAGCUGAAAGGAUAAUACAGAAGAGGAAGAAAAAAAUAAAGGAGCUGAAUGGAGUGAGAAAGGAGUGGAAGCGUGGGUGGAGGCGGGCAUUUUGUGCUCCGGUCUCGACCACGGGUAUUCUUGGGUUGAUAAUACAGAUGUGGAUGUUAUUGCUUGAGAAUACGCGUAGUCGAGGGGAAGCUUUAUCAUCAACACUGGAUCUGAUGCGGAGAUCUGUUCUGUAGCGCUGCAGAGUCCAAACAUAUAAGGGAAGGAACGAAUGGAAAUGUUUGGUCAAUCAGGUUUUUGAAUUACCUUGCCUUGUAGGAGUACUCGUACACCUUGAGGUUUUCUGCAUUUUGUCACAUUGUAGCCACAAACUUCAAUUAGGUUUAUUGGGAUUAUUAUUGGGAUCUCUUAUAAAAUCCCAACGACUGUGUACUUUGUGCCCAAUUAUGCACAAACUAGUGCAUAAUUGUGAAGUGAAGGGAGACAUUUUAUAAAAACGUUAACAUUUUCACAAUUAAAAUUCCGAGAAGUGGGCCGUGCUUUUGCUCCGACACCCCUAAAUAAACUUUGGUUCAUUCAUUCAAGAUCAGAGAAGCAGAAUCAUUGUAACUCUGGAGGAGCAGCAGAGAUUCACAGCCCAGUCAGGAAAAUCUGUCGAUGAUGUGUCGAUAUGAUUUGUUGGCCAUAAGAACCAGAACAAGUCCGGUUCGCCUCAAGCCAUGUAGGGGAACACAGCAAAAAAAAAAAAAAAAAAACGUGGCAGAAGGCGUUUUGAUCAGAUGAGACUAAAACUUUCUGGCAUUCAAGAAAAAUCCCAGGUGUAUCUGAAAGCUAGCGCUGCACAUCCUUCUGAGAAACACAAGCCAAAACUAGCCAAGAAGAUACAAUGAGCUUUGUGGCUGUAAUGUGACAAAAUGUGACACAAAAGUUAAACGGAAGUGAUUACUUUUGCAAGGCAAAGUAAGAAGCAAUCGGGGCUUGCCAGGAGUCUCAAUUGAAUUCAGCCACUGACGAGGUGUUAUCCGCCAUGUCACUCUGUCCACCUGUGGAGCUGGUGCGUUCAGCAGCUCCCUCAUCAGAAGCUUUGCACCCCGCUGCUGAGCUAAAACCCAGGCCGUUCUGGGAGCUUAUCUCAAAAAGUCUUCACCAUUGCACAUUAAAUCUUUUGAUUAUCUACUCUUGUCAUUCACAAGCGAUGUCAUAGUCUCACCAUUUAAUAGCUGCCUUUUGUCGUUUUUAUGUCCAUAUUCAUUCCAAACAAGAACGCUUUAAAUUUCCAGACACGGUCCCUGAGAAUUUUGCUCAGCCACGAGCCCAUCCACACCACCCCCCUCCCUGCUCUUCGAUCCCCCCGUCCAUCCCCCCCCACCUCACUCUCCAGCUCAAAUCUUAUUAAAGGAGUAAAAAAAAUAAAUAAAAAAAGUGCUAGUUUGAUGCCAGUAGCUGCAGCAACAGGAGACAGUAACACAUGAGGACAUGUAAAGCUUGCACCCGUGGCUGACAUUUCAGCAUUUUGACUCAGUCGACUGGCUGUCAUGAUGCAGAAUCAGACUCGCGCUGACACAAACACGGGAUCUACAUGCCAGCAGGGAAACAGCGGGGUUUGAUGGAGGCUCAUGACAACAGGCACAUGGAUAGAUCCCGUCCAUUUCAGCACACAUGCGAUGCUGCGUGAAGGUUCACUGGGUCCGUACGCCUGGAGGGCGGAGGGGGGUUUGAGGGAUUGACUGCUUUUAUGGGUAACUAUUUUUGGUCACAGUGAUGGAUGUUUAUGUCUUUUAUUGAUCAGGUCCAGGGUGUGGGUUUGAAGAAUUCUUGGGACGUUUGGGCUCGCUGAUUAAUCAGGCGGCUGAGAUGGUGGAAUAAAACAUCCGGAAUAACAUUUUCGGAGCAUUAGCAUUAUUGCUAAAGUAUUAUAAAUUAGAAGAUCAGCAUCCGUUUGCAAAUUCAGCAAUUUGUCAGCAUCAGCCUGAGGAUAGAUUACGCUCCCGUCAAAUACACUUGCAUGAUUUCUUUCCAAUGUGUAAGCAAAUCUGUGACAGUAUGUAAUCAUAAUUAACGCAAAUUUCCCUCUGACGCUCCGUGAACUUGUUGAUUAGGGGAGAGCGCUUUCCGUGGCUAUGUGUGUGUUUAUGCAAGCGCGUGUAUGUUGCUCCCAAGCAACAAAAUGACUAUUGUGAGCACAGCUCCAGGUGCCUAGCAACCAAAAUCGCUCUGUUUCCCUGGCAACAGUUGCCCCGGACUCGCUGUGUGGGUUGAUUGGCAGCCUUGACAACAGGGAGACAGAGUGACACUUGACCUCGCGUGCUGAAUGGGAGAGGCGAAAAGAAGGAGCGAGAGACGGAGGAGGAGAGAGGGGGAGGGAGCAGGAGAAGCUGAGUGAUAAUCAUUCUCCAUUGUAAUCAUCCUCCAGCAUGUUUCAUAAGGCGCUGUCAAUACCUCUCCAGCUGGGGUCCAUCAUCGAACACAAUGCACGCCGCAGCGCAUGCAUGCAUGGACACACUCCUCCUGGGUGGAGAGCCCAGGCAAGCACUCAACAUCUCAUCUAUUAUCACUCAGGCCUGUCUGGUGCACAACCCCACUACACUGCCUUCUUUCAUUUCUGCUACAUUCUGUGCUCCGUGGGGAUGAAUGGGCUCCUGAAAACGUGCAACAGUCACAGAUGCCUCAGGACAGUAGAUUGGCAUUCAAAGACCUCCUUUAGCAUAUUGAAAUGUAACAUCAGCAUGUAGCUGUUGGAAGAUGUGUUUUUUCUACGUUUUCUAUUCUAGAUCAUGGAGUCAAGACAGCCUCCAUUGUGCAGAUGUUGUUUUACUAGAAAGAAAAAGAAAGAAGAAAAAAAAAGAGGCGUUUUUAUGUCUGAAGUGCAUGACAGAUUUAAACUGAAUGGUAUUAACAGGACUGAGUUUUGUUGUCUUUAUCAGUUCAGGUCAGAAGUUUACCCACAGCCAUCUUCUUCUCUGAAUGUAUUAAAUUUGGAUUUUUAAUGAA
Non-coding RNA from Poecilia reticulata (guppy), 3721 nucleotides. The record is from RefSeq and is a predicted model, not a curated record. Lineage: Eukaryota; Metazoa; Chordata; Actinopteri; Cyprinodontiformes; Poeciliidae.